GUGAGGAAUAUUGGACAAUGGGCGCAAGCCUGAUCCAGCCAUGCCGCGUGCAGGAAGACGCAUCUAUGGUGUGUAAACUGCUUUUGUACGGGAAGAAACACUCCCUCGUGAGGGAGCUUGACGGUACCGUAAGAAUAAGGAUCGGCUAACUCCGUGCCAGCAGCCGCGGUAAUACGGAGGAUCCAAGCGUUAUCCGGAAUCAUUGGGUUUAUAGGGUCCGUAGGCGGUUUAAUAAGUCAGUGGUGAAAGCCCAUCGCUCAACGAUGGAACGGCCAUUGAUACUGUUAGACUUGAAUUACAAGGAAGUAACUAGAAUAUGUAGUGUAGCGGUGAAAUGCUUAGAUAUUACAUGGAAUACCAAUUGCGAAGGCAGGUUACUACUUGUGGAUUGACGCUGAUGGACGAAAGCGUGGGGAGCGAACAGGAUUAGAUACCCCAGUAGUCC
RNAcentral lists this ribosomal RNA (445 nucleotides) under uncultured bacterium. RNAcentral's name for it is "partial 16S ribosomal RNA". It matches the Rfam family "Bacterial small subunit ribosomal RNA", at positions 354 to 796 of the family's 1533-position model. The record is from RNAcentral.